Molecule: ribosomal RNA, 301 nt
Filed under: uncultured bacterium
Lineage: Bacteria
Description: partial 16S ribosomal RNA
Rfam family: Bacterial small subunit ribosomal RNA
Source: RNAcentral
CAGUAGCCGCGGGAAUACGUAGGUCCCGAGCGUUGUCCGGAUUUAUUGGGCGUAAAGCGAGCGCAGGCGGUUAGAUAAGUCUGAAGUUAAGGGCUGUGGCUUAACCAUAGUACGCUUUGGAAACUGUUUAACUUGAGUGCAAGAGGGGAGAGUGGAAUUCCAUGUGUAGCGGUGAAAUGCGUAGAUAUAUGGAGGAACACCGGUGGCGAAAGCGGCUCUCUGGCUUGUAACUGACGCUGAGGCUCGAAAGCGUGGGGAGCAAACAGGAUUAGAUACCCCCGUAGUCCCUGUCUCUUAUACA